Molecule: ribosomal RNA, 445 nt
Filed under: uncultured bacterium
Lineage: Bacteria
Description: partial 16S ribosomal RNA
Rfam family: Bacterial small subunit ribosomal RNA
Source: RNAcentral
GUGAGGAAUAUUGGUCAAUGGGCGGGAGCCUGAACCAGCCAAGUCGCGUGAAGGAAGAAGGAUCUAUGGUUCGUAAACUUCUUUUGCAGGGGAAUAAAGUGCAGGACGUGUCCUGUUUUGUAUGUACCCUGAGAAUAAGGAUCGGCUAACUCCGUGCCAGCAGCCGCGGUAAUACGGAGGAUCCGAGCGUUAUCCGGAUUUAUUGGGUUUAAAGGGUGCGUAGGUGGUUUGAUAAGUCAGCGGUGAAAGUUUGCAGCUUAACUGUAAAAAUGCCGUUGAAGCUGUCGGACUUAAGUGUAAAUGAGGUAGGCGGAAUGCGUGGUGUAGCGGUGAAAUGCAUAGAUAUCACGCAGAACUCCGAUUGCGAAGGCAGCUUACUAAGCUACAACUGACACUGAAGCACGAAAGCGUGGGGAUCAAACAGGAUUAGAAACCCUGGUAGUCC